AAGUCGUAACAAGGUCUCCGUAGGUGAACCUGCGGAGGGAUCAUUAAUGAGUGAGGGGGCCACCCCCAACCUCCAACCCUUUGUGAACGCAUCAUGUUGCUUCGGGGGCGACCCUGCCGUUCGCGGCAUUCCCCCCGGAGGUCAUCAAAACACUGCAUUCUUACGUCGGAGUAAAAAGUUAAUUUAAUAAAACUUUCAACAACGGAUCUCUUGGUUCUG
This 219-nucleotide unclassified non-coding RNA is filed under the name Ramularia pratensis. RNAcentral describes it as "partial internal transcribed spacer region". The stretch from base 1 to 46 matches the Rfam family "Eukaryotic small subunit ribosomal RNA", at positions 1786 to 1831 of the family's 1831-position model. The record is from RNAcentral. RNAcentral also lists the same sequence under 1 other name. Lineage: Eukaryota; Fungi; Ascomycota; Dothideomycetes; Mycosphaerellales; Mycosphaerellaceae.